CAGGGAGGAUGGCGAUCAUCAGCAGGUGGAGUGGAGAAACCAGUAAUCUGUAUUUCAGAGCUACACGAACGCGACAGUCUCUGUCAUUUUCGCCAGCGGCGUACUGACCUGGUCAUCGUAACGAUGCCGAGAAGCUGCAUUAAGUAUGUCAGUGU
This is a long non-coding RNA of Chroicocephalus ridibundus (black-headed gull), 155 nucleotides long. RefSeq lists it as uncharacterized. Lineage: Eukaryota; Metazoa; Chordata; Aves; Charadriiformes; Laridae. The transcript is spliced from 3 exons. The record is from RefSeq and is a predicted model, not a curated record.